Molecule: ribosomal RNA, 793 nt
Filed under: uncultured Methanotrichaceae archaeon
Lineage: Archaea; Methanobacteriati; Methanobacteriota; Methanomicrobia; Methanotrichales; Methanotrichaceae
Description: bacterial SSU rRNA
Rfam family: Archaeal small subunit ribosomal RNA
Source: RNAcentral
ACGGCUCAGUAACACGUGGACAACCUGCCCUUAGGUUGGGUAUAAACCCGGGAAACUGGGUAUAAUACCCGAUAGGUCUCGAUUGCUGGAAUGCAUCGAGAUAUAAAGCUCCGGCGCCUAAGGAUGGGUCUGCGGCCUAUCAGGUAGUAGUGGGUGUAGCGUACCUACUAGCCUACGACGGGUACGGGUUGUGAGAGCAAGAGCCCGGAGAUGGAUUCUGAGACACGAAUCCAGGCCCUACGGGGUGCAGCAGGCGCGAAAACUUUACAAUGCUGGCAACAGCGAUAAGGGAACCUCGAGUGCCAGGUUACAAAUCUGGCUGUCGAGAUGCCUAAAAAGCAUUUCAUAGCAAGGGCCGGGCAAGACCGGUGCCAGCCGCCGCGGUAACACCGGCGGCUCGAGUGGUAACCGUUAUUAUUGGGUCUAAAGGGUCUGUAGCCGGCCGGAUAAGUCUCUUGAGAAAUCUGGCAGCUUAACUGUCAGGCUUUCAGGAGAUACUGUCGGGCUCGAGGCCGGGAGAGGUGAGAGGUACUUCAGGGGUAGGGGUGAAAUCUUGUAAUCCUUGAAGGACCACCAGUGGCGAAGGCGUCUCACCAGAACGGACCUGACGGCAAGGGACGAAAGCUAGGGGCACGAACCGGAUUAGAUACCCUGGUAGUCCUAGCCGUAAACGAUACUCGCUAGGUGUCGGCCACGGUGCGACCGUUGUCGGUGCCGUAGGGAAGCCGUGAAGCGAGCCACCUGGGAAGUACGGCCGCAAGGCUGAAACUUAAAGGAAUUGGCGGGGGAGCAC